This 427-nucleotide ribosomal RNA is filed under the name Bacillota bacterium. Its description in RNAcentral is "Firmicutes bacterium partial 16S ribosomal RNA". It matches the Rfam family "Bacterial small subunit ribosomal RNA", at positions 355 to 776 of the family's 1533-position model. Lineage: Bacteria; Bacillati; Bacillota. The record is from RNAcentral.
UCGGGAAUUUUGGGCAAUGGGCGAAAGCCUGACCCAGCAACGCCGCGUGAAGGAUGAAAUCCCUCGGGAUGUAAACUUCGCAAGAUUGGGAAGAAUUAGUAGGGGUUAAUACCCCCUAUGAUGACGGUACCUUUUGUAAGCUCCGGCUAACUCCGUGCCAGCAGCCGCGGUAAUACGGGGGGAGCAAGCGUUGUUCGGAUUUACUGGGCGUAAAGGGCGCGUAGGCGGUCAGCACAAGUCAGUUGUGAAAUCUCCGGGCUUAACUCGGAAAGGUCAACUGAUACUGUGCGACUAGAGUGCAGAAGGGGCAACUGGAAUUCUCGGUGUAGCGGUGAAAUGCGUAGAUAUCGAGAGGAACACCUGCGGCGAAGGCGGGUUGCUGGGCUGACACUGACGCUGAGGCGCGAAAGCCAGGGGAGCGAACGGG